This 978-nucleotide long non-coding RNA is filed under the name Canis lupus familiaris (dog). Its description in RNAcentral is "lncRNA (ENSCAFG00040024831.1)". Lineage: Eukaryota; Metazoa; Chordata; Mammalia; Carnivora; Canidae. The record is from RNAcentral.
ACCCAGGCUUCACCUCCCUCCGCUCGCACCCAGGCCCAACAGUGUCCCCCUGGCCCUCUCACAUUAUUUCCACACCUUUGCAUAACCCUUUGGGUUUCCCGGGUUGUCAGCUCUGUCCCAAACGCUUCGUCCCUGAGCAGUGUCAUCUCCAUGUCACAGAAGGGAAAGCAGGGGUUCAGAGAGGUUAAGCGACCGGCCAAAGACCUCACAGCUCUGACAUCGCAUCGCCAAAACGCGAACCUGAGUUCUCUGGCCUCAAAUGUCAGCCACUCUCCACUCCUCUGCCUCCCCCUCCGAGGACCACUCAGUUGCUAGGAGACAGCAAGCUGGAGGUUACUAUGGGAACCCGGCUGAUGUGGAAAGUGGAAGAGAGUUGGUGUCCAGGCGGCUGUGGGAAGGCUCCAGGAACAACGCAGAGGCUUCACUCUGGAUGACAAACGAGGAGGGGAGAGGCCUGCCCUGCCUGGACUCCGGGUGGGCAGAGCUGCUCGGUGCUGUGGCUCGAGGAGGAGGGUGAUUCAGAGAACAGGUGCUGCCUUGGAGAAAGAGAAGGGCAAGGCGGAAAGAUCAUAGGAAGGGCGGAGACGCAGGAGGUUCGCCCCCCCCCGCGCCCCAAAGGGCGCCAGGCAGGGCAGCUGUGCCCUUCUAUGGGUAGGCCUGAGAGAGGGCAAGGGCGGUGGGGGGAGUGGGGGGGACAGGGCUGGCGCAGCCCAUCGGCUGCAGGUCGGCUGGGGACAGCCACAGUCACGGAAUCUUCCUUCCUUCGGUUGCCCCAGGAUCUCUCCCUGAAGCUGGGGUUUGAAUCCCUUGUCCCAGCUGUGCGACCCCUUGGUUUCACUUAGCCCUCCACGCCUCCCUGGGGUGCUGGACCCCGUCCCGGGCUUCUGGGUCCUUCAAGGCCUGCGUGUCCCUCGGAGCGCCACCAGGAGGCGCCCCGCACCUGCUGGGCCCUGGGGAGCCUGGGGCGCGGCCGGGUCG